CACAGUAAACGAUGAUGACUCGCUGUCGGCGAUAAGACAGUCGGUGGCAAAGCGAAAGCGAUAAGUCAUCCACCUGGGGAGUACGACCGCAAGGUUGAAACUCAAAGGAAUUGACGGGGGCCCGCACAAGCGGAGGAAACAUGUGGUUUAAUUCGAUGAUACGCGAGGAACCUUACCCGGGCUCGAACGGUGCAGGAAGAGAACAGGAGACUGUGACGUCCUUCGGGACCUGCAUCGAGGUGCUGCAUGGUUGUCGUCAGCUCGUGCCGUGAGGUGUCGGCUUAAGUGCCAUAACGAGCGCAACCCUUGCCAUUAGUUACCAGCACGUAAAGGUGGGGACUCUAGUGGGACUGCCACCGUAAGGUGAGAGGAAGGGGGGGAUGACGUCAAAUCAGCACGGCCCUUACGUCCGGGGCGACACACGUGUUACAAUGGUGGGUACAGAGGGCAGCUACCUGGCGACAGGAUGCAAAUCUCGAAAACCCAUCUCAGUUCAGAUCGGAGUCUGCAACUCGACUCCGUGAAGUUGGAUUCGCUAGUAAUCGCGCAUCAGCCAUGGCGCGGUGAAUACGUUCCCGGGCCUUGUACACACCGCCCGUCAAGCCAUGGAAGUCGGGUGUGCCUGAAGUCCGCGACCGAAAGGAACGGCCUAAGGCAAAACUGAUAACUGGGGCUAAGUCGUAA
Molecule: ribosomal RNA, 684 nt
Filed under: uncultured bacterium
Lineage: Bacteria
Description: bacterial SSU rRNA
Rfam family: Bacterial small subunit ribosomal RNA
Source: RNAcentral